GAUGAACGCUAGCGGGAUGCCUUACACAUGCAAGUCGAACGGAGUGGCGAACGGGUGAGUAAUGUAUCGGAACGUGCCCAGUAGCGGGGGAUAACUACGCGAACGCGUAGCUAAUACCGCAUACUAUUGGACCGGCCGAUAUCGGAUUAGCUAUUUGGUGGGGUAAGGGCUCACCAAGGCGACGAUCCAUAGCUGGUUUGGGAGGACGCCCAGCAACACUGGGACGGAGACACGGCCCAGACUCCUACGGGAGGCAGCAGUGGGGAAUUGUGGACAAUGGGGGAAACCCUGAUCCAGCCAUCCCGCGUGUGCGAUGAAGGCCUUCGGGUUGUAAAGCACUUUUGGCAGGAAAGCGGUACCUGCAGAAUAAGCACCGGCUAACUACGUGCCAGCAGCCGCGGGAAUAC
Molecule: ribosomal RNA, 407 nt
Filed under: uncultured bacterium
Lineage: Bacteria
Description: partial 16S ribosomal RNA
Rfam family: Bacterial small subunit ribosomal RNA
Source: RNAcentral